UACAGAGGGUUCAAGCGUUGUUCGGAUUCAUUGGGCGUAAAGGGUGCGUAGGCGGCGCGGUAAGUCGGGUGUGAAAUCUCGGAGCUUAACUCCGAAACUGCAUUCGAUACUGCCGUGCUUGAGGACUGGAGAGGAGACUGGAAUUUACGGUGUAGCGGUGAAAUGCGUAGAUAUCGUAAGGAAGACCAGUGGCGAAGGCGGGUCUCUGGACAGUUCCUGACGCUGAUGCACGAAGGCCAGGGGAGCAAACGGG
This 253-nucleotide ribosomal RNA is filed under the name uncultured bacterium. RNAcentral's name for it is "partial 16S ribosomal RNA". It matches the Rfam family "Bacterial small subunit ribosomal RNA", at positions 524 to 776 of the family's 1533-position model. The record is from RNAcentral.